RNAcentral lists this unclassified non-coding RNA (167 nucleotides) under uncultured fungus. Its description in RNAcentral is "sequence contains ITS1". Lineage: Eukaryota; Fungi. The record is from RNAcentral.
UUGAUUAUUUGUUUUCUUCUCAGACGCCAGUACGCAGGUUUUUGGUCUCCGGCCGACGCUCCGCAGAGGCCGGCCGAAGCAACUGUAGCUUUUAGGCAAAAGGGUGGAGGUAGAUCGUUGGACGAUCGCACUCGGUAAUGAUCCUUCCGCAGGUUCACCUACGGAAA